Molecule: long non-coding RNA, 604 nt
Filed under: Homo sapiens (human)
Lineage: Eukaryota; Metazoa; Chordata; Mammalia; Primates; Hominidae
Description: HSALNT0057928
Source: RNAcentral
CUCCAACAUGUGUGCUGUGAAGAAGCCUGGGCCACUAGGAGCAAUCAUGUGCUAGUCUUCUAUUACAGAGUUUCUGCUGAGUUCUGAUAUUAUUGCCAGUAAUAGCCAGAUAAGGAAAUAAAUGAAGGAGCCUCCAGAUGAUAAGAUCUCAGCUAUAGAGUCAUCUCCAGUCUUUAAGUCUUGCCAGCUGAAGACACAGAUAUUUUGAAGCAGAGACAAGACACCCCUCAAUUCCCUGUUCACAUUUCUAAUCUACAGACUCUGUUUGCCCAAUGUAAUUAAAAGAUUCCUAAAAGUUCAUCAAGGAAAACAGAAGAGUCAGAACCGAACAGGCAGAUGUAACUACAGAAGCAAAAUUGGAAUGCUGAGCUAUGGGAAGUAUUCAAGUCAACUACGCUGGUUUUGAAAAUGAAAGAAGAGUGUGACCAACCAAGGAACACCGGCAGCCUCUACAUACUGGAAAAGAUAGAACCCAAGGACAUUUUACUGAUCUGAGCAUAUUUUAUAUCAAUCGUUUUGAGACUACUUUAUUUGCAUUAACAAGAACACCAAAUUGAACAGCUACCCACAUACAAAAAACACCUUCAUAAGAACCAAAAAUCAG